This 232-nucleotide ribosomal RNA is filed under the name uncultured bacterium. RNAcentral describes it as "partial 16S ribosomal RNA". It matches the Rfam family "Bacterial small subunit ribosomal RNA", at positions 545 to 776 of the family's 1533-position model. The record is from RNAcentral.
UCGGAAUUACUGGGCGUAAAGCGUGCGUAGGUGGUGAGGUAAGUCUGUCGUGAAAGCCCCGGGCUCAACCUGGGAAUGGCGAUGGAUACUGGCUCGCUAGAGUGCGGUAGAGGAGAGUGGAAUUCCCGGUGUAGCAGUGAAAUGCGUAGAGAUCGGGAGGAACAUCAGUUGCGAAGGCGGCUCUCUGGACCAGCACUGACACUGAGGCACGAAAGCGUGGGGAGCAAACAGG